AUGGAGCGCGCACCGGAGCAUCGCCUGCAAAAGCUCUCCGUCGCCGCCGGCGUCGGCGGUGAAGGCGGCGAGGACCGCCUCAGCGCGCUGCCGGACGACGUCCUCAUCCACAUCCUCCUCAAGCUCCGCGACGCCGCCCUCGCCGCUCGGACCAGCGUCCUCGCCCGCCGCUGGCGCCGCGUCUGGGCUCUCCUCCCGGAGCUCCAUUUUCCCGUCGGCACCGACCCCGACCGGACACCGCCCACGAUGCGCCGGCCCUCCGGCACCUCUUCGUCGCCGCCGUUGAGGCCACCCCGGAUUCCGCUGCGGCAUGGCUCCCCAUCGCCGCGCGCCGCCUCUCUGGUGUCCUGCAUUUCAACAACAGUAGGGACAUGA
RNAcentral lists this ribosomal RNA (375 nucleotides) under Triticum aestivum (bread wheat). Its description in RNAcentral is "partial small subunit ribosomal RNA". Lineage: Eukaryota; Viridiplantae; Streptophyta; Magnoliopsida; Poales; Poaceae. The record is from RNAcentral.